RNAcentral lists this ribosomal RNA (224 nucleotides) under uncultured bacterium. Its description in RNAcentral is "partial 16S ribosomal RNA". It matches the Rfam family "Bacterial small subunit ribosomal RNA", at positions 109 to 334 of the family's 1533-position model. The record is from RNAcentral.
AGUAACACGUGAGCAAUCUGCCCUGGACUCUGGGAUAAGCGUUGGAAACGACGUCUAAUACCGGAUACGCGACGCGAAGGCAUCUUCAGCGUCGGGAAAGAACUUCGGUCCAGGAUGAGCUCGCGGCCUAUCAGCUAGUUGGUGAGGUAACGGCCCACCAAGGCGACGACGGGUAGCCGGCCUGAGAGGGUGACCGGCCACACUGGGACUGAGACACGGCCCAG